Molecule: long non-coding RNA, 702 nt
Organism: Fukomys damarensis (Damara mole-rat)
Lineage: Eukaryota; Metazoa; Chordata; Mammalia; Rodentia; Bathyergidae
Exons: 3
Source: RefSeq, a predicted model, not a curated record
GGCAGAAUGGCCACCUAACAAUUCGGCUAUAGUUCUUAUUGACAGAACAUCCUGUGAAGUGGAAGCGAUAUCCGACAAGACGCAGUGUAUCCUCCAAGCCAAUGGUCAAUAUACAGUGAUUUUUAACCAUAGCCGGAAUCUGUAGCUCUGAACAAAGAGUUCUCACAGCUCUGUUCUCCACUCAUAAGAGAACUUACUUCUUCAAGAAAGAAUUACUCUACCAGGGAAAUAACAAUUGUUCCAUUCAGUUGGAAGCUGACGUUCCCGUCUGACCAUGGGUUCCUCGUGUCACUGACCAAGAGUCAAAGGAAAGUUCAAUGAGCUGGCUGGUGUAAUGGAUCCUGUUUACUGUAUUGGUAGCUGCAUGAUGCUGGCAUGGCAGGGAGAGCAUAAAUUGCUCCACUGACAAUAAAAGUGAGGACUAAAGAUUUGAGAGGACUAAGAAAAAUCACUGGAAAUCAGAAGAAAUACCACCUCCUUCAAGAAGGGUUCAUUCCUCCUCCUUCUUUUGGACAUCACAGUUUAGUUAUUUGUUUAGACUCUACCUCUUCAUUAGAAGGCAAGAAACAUGUCUUAUUCAGCUUGGUAUAUGCCCAGUUUAGCCUGUAUUCAGCACAAGAAGAUUCCAUGUUUAUCAAGUAAUGAUUGAAUAAAAGAAGGGAUGCUUGGAAACUAGAUUUUAAAGCUCAGUAAUGAAUCUGC